This 72-nucleotide transfer RNA is filed under the name Pleuronichthys coenosus (C-O sole). RNAcentral's name for it is "tRNA-Trp". It matches the Rfam family "tRNA". From Rfam's summary of the family: Transfer RNA (tRNA) molecules are approximately 80 nucleotides in length. Their secondary structure includes four short double-helical elements and three loops (D, anti-codon, and T loops). Lineage: Eukaryota; Metazoa; Chordata; Actinopteri; Pleuronectiformes; Pleuronectidae. The record is from RNAcentral.
AGGGACUUAGGAUAGCAGUUAGACCGGGGGCCUUCAAAGCCCUCAGCGAGAGUGAAAAUCUCUCAGUCCCUG